Molecule: ribosomal RNA, 495 nt
Filed under: uncultured bacterium
Lineage: Bacteria
Description: partial 16S ribosomal RNA
Rfam family: Bacterial small subunit ribosomal RNA
Source: RNAcentral
GGACGAACGCUGGCGGCGUGCUUAACACAUGCAAGUCGAACGGAAAGGCCUGCUUUCCCUUGUGGAUUGCGGGUACUCGAGUGGCGAACGGGUGAGUAACACGUGAGUGAUCUGCCCCCAACUUGGGUAUAAGCCUGGGAAACUGGGUCUAAUUCCCGAUAGGACUGCAGGGUGGUGCCUGUGGUGGAAAACGAUUUUCUAGUGGUUGGGGAUGAGCUCGCGGCCUAUCAGCUUGUUGGUGGGGUAAUGGCCUACCAAGGCGGCGACGGGUAGCCGGCCUGAGAGGGUGGACGGCCACAUUGGGACUGAGAUACGGCCCAGACUCCUACGGGAGGCAGCAGUGGGGAAUAUUGCACAAUGGGCGGAAGCCUGAUGCAGCGACGCCGCGUGGGGGAUGACGGCCUUCGGGUUGUAAACUCCUUUCGACCGCGAGGAAGCCACCUGGGUGGAAGGGUGGUGACGGUAGUGGUAGAAGAAGCACCGGCUAACUACGUG